RNAcentral lists this long non-coding RNA (1146 nucleotides) under Camponotus floridanus (Florida carpenter ant). RNAcentral describes it as "uncharacterized LOC105251922, transcript variant X3". Lineage: Eukaryota; Metazoa; Arthropoda; Insecta; Hymenoptera; Formicidae. The record is from RNAcentral.
ACUAGGCGUAAGUUUUCGUCCGCGGGCUACCUGCCUGCGUGAUUUCGCGACGUCUCAUGCUAUCGACGAUAACAUACCUAAGCGGUGCAAGCGCGGAGAGCCACGGAGAGAGGCCCCCCUUCAAAAUCGAUACCCUCGGCUCCUCCUCGAAGCUGUCUCGCCUCGCGUGCUUGCGUAGCCGAGCACGUGACCGGCCACGGAUGUGCAGAUGAAAGAACGGAUGUGGAUCUGCGAGAUGCCGGGCGAUUCGGAGCCACGCCAUAAAGAUUCCAUCCCGAUACAUCGCCGAACAUCAUUGUCGAUUCAUUCAUAAUGAACGCCUGUUCUGAGAUCAUUACGGACGCCCGAUUAUACAUUCGAGUCAUUUAAAUGCAGCGGUUUCCUCUUGAUAGACCCAAUGACCUGAGAGAGAGAGAGAGAGAGAGAAAGAUAGAGACAUCUCGACCUUGUCUACCAAAUAAGGCCCCGCAUCAAGGUCCUCGUGAUCUGGAUUUACGUUAAGGAUUUUCACUUGUGAGAGCGAGGGAACUGAUGGCGCGUGCGAAAAAAGGUCGAGCCUUCAGGUAGUUCUUUACCCUUCUUCGAGGAACUCAAAGUUAACACUGGUAUCAUCUGCAUGUGGCGUAAGCAAAAUGCGACGAUGCACGUAUCCGUUUCUAUGCAAAAGUUAAAAAAAAAAAUGUGUAUAAAGGAAAGAGCGCGCGCACAUAAAGGGAUAAAUAUAAGUUAAACGAAAGUUAUAAACAAUUUAACGAGGAGUUUCGUUAUUAAAGCAAAUUUUAGAAACGUCGUUGAGCGUACAUGCAUAAUGCAACAUAAGCUUAAUGUGAUUCUUGGACGAUGCCGUCUACCCGAUACUAUCGUAACAGUACCGUCGUACACUCGGUUGACGCCAUCGUUCGCCAAGCGAGGAAUCUCGACUGUGCUCAAUAAUACUCGAUACUGCUAUAUUUAAUGCUGACUUAUUUCAUUUAUAAAAUGAAAGAAUCUGAUAUGUAUCUCGGCGACUAAAUAAUCAUCACAUCGUUUUGAUCGCUUUAUUGUACGCGGCGUCGUGACAAAAUUUACUCCAAUACAGGAUGUUCCUAAUGUGUGCGAAAAAUGUUGGGGGAUUAUUUAGCGAAAGGUGAGAUUUUAAGAAAUAUA